UGCGUGACCUAAGAAAUGACUUCAAGUU
This 28-nucleotide non-coding RNA is filed under the name Homo sapiens (human). The record is from RNAcentral. Lineage: Eukaryota; Metazoa; Chordata; Mammalia; Primates; Hominidae.